UACAGAGGUCUCAAGCGUUGUUCGGAAUCAUUGGGCGUAAAGCGCGUGUAGGCGGUUACGUAAGUCUGCUGUGAAAGUCGGAGGCUCAACCUUCGAAAGCCGGUGGAUACUGCGUGACUAGAGUACGGAAGAGGAGAGUGGAAUUCCUGGUGUAGCGGUGAAAUGCGCAGAUAUCAGGAGGAACACCAACGGCGAAGGCAGCUCUCUGGGACGUUACUGACGCUGAGACGCGAAAGCGUGGGGAGCAAACAGG
This 253-nucleotide ribosomal RNA is filed under the name uncultured bacterium. RNAcentral describes it as "partial 16S ribosomal RNA". It matches the Rfam family "Bacterial small subunit ribosomal RNA", at positions 524 to 776 of the family's 1533-position model. The record is from RNAcentral.